UACGAAGGGGGCUAGCGUUGUUCGGAAUUACUGGGCGUAAAGGGCGCGUAGGCGGCCUGUUUAGUCAGAAGUGAAAGCCCCGGGCUCAACCUGGGAACCGCUUUUGAUACUGGCAGGCUUGAGUUCCGGAGAGGAUGGUGGAAUUCCCAGUGUAGAGGUGAAAUUCGUGGAUAUUGGGAAGAACACCGGUGGCGAAGGCGGCAUCCUGGACCGGUAUUGACGCUGAGGCGCGAAAGCCAGGGGAGCAAACGGG
Molecule: ribosomal RNA, 253 nt
Filed under: uncultured bacterium
Lineage: Bacteria
Description: partial 16S ribosomal RNA
Rfam family: Bacterial small subunit ribosomal RNA
Source: RNAcentral